GGGGGAGUGGCUGCUUGUGAGGGUAGAUAGUGAUAGGAAAAGGGGGAAUGGUUUUAAACUGAGACAGGGGAGGUUUAGGUUGGAGAUGAGGAGGAAGUUUUUCCCCCACAGGGUGGUGACGCACUGAACAGGUUGCCCAAGGAGGCUGUGGAUGCCCCAUCCCUGCAGGCAUUCAAGGCCAGGCUGGAUGUGGCUCUGGGCAGCCUGGUCUGGUGAUUGGCAACCCUGCACAUAGCAGGGGGUUGGAACUGGAUGCGCAUUGUGGUCCUUUUCAACCCAGGCCAUUCUAUGGUUCUAUGAUUCCCAUUCCAGAACAGAAGAAGGCAGCUACUGCUUCUAGUGCCCACCCAGCCCAGUGCCUGCCCAGCAGUGGUGAUACCAGAUACAGGAGCACCCACUCCUGUAUCAGCCCUGCAUGCUGUCUGCACCACCCGCAGUGCCAUGGUGUGAGGAGGGCUCCCAGGGCAGCAGUUGCUCUCCCGUGGGUGACACAGCAAGGAGUACUGGCACAGCCUCAGGAGCAAUGCCUGGGCAGGGUUUGUCCAACAGA
This 550-nucleotide long non-coding RNA is filed under the name Gallus gallus (chicken). RNAcentral's name for it is "lncRNA (ENSGALG00010020156.1)". Lineage: Eukaryota; Metazoa; Chordata; Aves; Galliformes; Phasianidae. The record is from RNAcentral.